ACCUCAUGAACAGAGGCAGAGACAGCCAAGGCGCAUCACCUGGAAAGGCCCUGCCAGCCCUGUCCUGCAGGAAAGACUGAAGGAGAAGGGGGGGAGGAAGAAAAGGAGGCACGCCUGGAGGAAGCCUCAGCUGGGACACAUUCACAUUCAGCUGCACCCUGCUAGAGAGAUCAGCUGCCCGAUAUCCCUUAACUGGAAAUGAUGAGCUGACUCUAGAAACUUCUGUAUGCAAAGUAUGCAUUUUACCACGGAAUCAAGUCCUCAUAACCUCGAAGAUGUGUGAGAAUGGUUCCACCACAACUUCAAGCUCAGAAGACUUCAUUCAUAUUCUGAUGUAAUGAGGCAAUAAAUUGUUGUAUUCUAA
Molecule: long non-coding RNA, 364 nt
Organism: Eublepharis macularius
Lineage: Eukaryota; Metazoa; Chordata; Lepidosauria; Squamata; Eublepharidae
Exons: 3
Source: RefSeq, a predicted model, not a curated record